RNAcentral lists this ribosomal RNA (500 nucleotides) under uncultured bacterium. RNAcentral describes it as "bacterial SSU rRNA". It matches the Rfam family "Bacterial small subunit ribosomal RNA", at positions 28 to 525 of the family's 1533-position model. The record is from RNAcentral.
GAUUAACGCUGGCGGCAUGCCUAAUACAUGCAAGUCGAACGGAAGCAGCAAUGCUUUAGUGGCGAACGGGUGAGUAACACGUAGGGAACCUACCUAUACGACGAGGAUAACUACUGGAAACGGUAGCUAAAACUGGAUAGGAUCAAUUGAGGCAUCUUGAUUGAUUUAAAGAUCCUUCGGGAUUACGUAGAGAUGGCCCUGCGGCGCAUUAGCUAGUUGGUGAGGUAACGGCCCACCAAGGCGACGAUGCGUAGCUGAGCUGAGAGGCUAAACAGCCACACUGGGACUGAGACACGGCCCAGACUCCUACGGGAGGCAGCAGUAGGGAAUUUUCGGCAAUGGGGGAAACCCUGACCGAGCAAUGCCGCGUGAACGAUGAAGGUCUUCGGAUUGUAAAGUUCUGUGAUUGGGGAAGAAUGGUAUUCUUAGGGAAUGAGGAGUACAUGACGGUACCCGAUUAGAAAGCCCCGGCUAACUACGUGCCAGCAGCCGCGGUAAAU